GACGAACGCUGGCGGCGUGCUUAACACAUGCAAGUCGAACGGUGAACUCCGCUUGCGGGGGGAUCAGUGGCGAACGGGUGAGUAACACGUGGGCAACCUGCCCUCAGCUCUGGGAUAACUCCAAGAAAUUGGGGCUAAUACCGGAUAUGACCGCUGACCGCAUGGUCUGGUGGUGGAAAGAUUUAUCGGCUGGGGAUGGGCCCGCGGCCUAUCAGCUUGUUGGUGGGGUAGUGGCCUACCAAGGCGACGACGGGUAGCCGGCCCGGGAGGGUGACCGGCCACCCGGGGACUGAGACAGGGCGCAGAGUGCUACGGGGGGCAACAGGGGGGAAUAUGACGCAAUGGGCGAAAGCCUGACGAAGCGACGCCGGGUGGGGGAUGACGGCCUUCGGGUUGUAAACCUCUGUCAGCAGGGACGAAGCGAAAGUGACGGUACCUGCAGAAGAAGCACCGGCCAACUACGUG
This 465-nucleotide ribosomal RNA is filed under the name uncultured bacterium. Its description in RNAcentral is "partial 16S ribosomal RNA". It matches the Rfam family "Bacterial small subunit ribosomal RNA", at positions 28 to 507 of the family's 1533-position model. The record is from RNAcentral.